ACAAAGGUCCUUUUAAGGGCCACCCACCUUUGCCUUUAAGAGCUUU
RNAcentral lists this non-coding RNA (46 nucleotides) under Xyrichtys novacula (pearly razorfish). It matches the Rfam family "Histone 3' UTR stem-loop". From Rfam's summary of the family: The mRNAs of metazoan histone genes lack a poly-A tail. 3' end processing occurs at a site between a highly conserved stem-loop (modelled by this family) and a purine rich region around 20 nts downstream (the histone downstream element, or HDE). The record is from RNAcentral. Lineage: Eukaryota; Metazoa; Chordata; Actinopteri; Labriformes; Labridae.